UGGUGCUAUAUUGGUGGACUCAUACCAAAAGACAGUUGAUAAUAAAGCAGCAAUUAAAUUUUUAAGCAAUCCUGAAAAAAGCUAUGUUUGAAUAGUUGUGAAAUCAGAAUCUCCAUAUUAUGGAAUGCCAGAAUCUUGAUAUUUUUGAAUGUUAGGACCCAGACAUUUUGGGACGCCAGCAUCCGGAUAUUUUGGGAUGCCAGC
This 204-nucleotide long non-coding RNA is filed under the name Mytilus galloprovincialis (Mediterranean mussel). Lineage: Eukaryota; Metazoa; Mollusca; Bivalvia; Mytilida; Mytilidae. The record is from RNAcentral.